Molecule: ribosomal RNA, 292 nt
Filed under: uncultured bacterium
Lineage: Bacteria
Description: partial 16S ribosomal RNA
Rfam family: Bacterial small subunit ribosomal RNA
Source: RNAcentral
GUGCCAGCAGCCGCGGUAAUACAGAGGUCCCAAGCGUUGUUCGGAUUCACUGGGCGUAAAGGGUGCGUAGGCGGUCGGGUAAGUCUGACGUGAAAUCCCGUGGCUCAACCAUGGAAGGGCGUCGGAAACUAUCCGGCUUGAGGGUGCGAGGGGGGACUGGAAUUCUCGGUGUAGCAGUGAAAUGCGUAGAUAUCGAGAGGAACACCAGUGGCGAAGGCGAGUCCCUGGAGCACACCUGACGCUGAGGCACGAAAGCUAGGGGAGCAAACAGGAUUAGAUACCCGCGUAGUCC